This 40-nucleotide ribosomal RNA is filed under the name Mucor racemosus. RNAcentral's name for it is "partial 28S ribosomal RNA". The record is from RNAcentral. RNAcentral also lists the same sequence under 6 other names. Lineage: Eukaryota; Fungi; Mucoromycota; Mucoromycetes; Mucorales; Mucoraceae.
AUUUGAUCUGAAAUCAGGCGGGAUUACCCGCUGAACUUAA